This 408-nucleotide ribosomal RNA is filed under the name uncultured bacterium. Its description in RNAcentral is "bacterial SSU rRNA". It matches the Rfam family "Bacterial small subunit ribosomal RNA", at positions 355 to 775 of the family's 1533-position model. The record is from RNAcentral.
UGGGGAAUAUUGCGCAAUGGGCGAAAGCCUGACGCAGCGACGCCGCGUGGGGGAUGAAGGCCUUCGGGUUGUAAACCCCUUUCAGCAGGGACGAAGCGAAAGUGACGGUACCUGCAGAAGAAGCGCCGGCUAACUACGUGCCAGCAGCCGCGGUAACACGUAGGGCGCAAGCGUUGUCCGGAAUUAUUGGGCGUAAAGAGCUCGUAGGUGGUUUGUUACGUCUGCUGUGAAAACCUAGGGCUUAACCCUGGGCUUGCAGUGGAUACGGGCAGACUAGAGGUAGGUAGGGGAGAAUGGAAUUCCUGGUGUAGCGGUGAAAUGCGCAGAUAUCAGGAGGAACACCGGUGGCGAAGGCGGUUCUCUGGGCCUUACCUGACACUGAGGAGCGAAAGCGUGGGGAGCGAACAG